AUCAUCCGUCCACAACAAUCGUUAGCCAAUUAUCGAGUUUCUACGCCUUCCGCUUACUCGCAUGGUGUAGUCAAGCCCCGCCUGUUGAGUUUUUGGCAAGCAUUUCCUCCAAACUCUCCUUCAAACUCUCCGCCAGACAAUGGCUUUCAUGCGAUCAUGAUCGCCAAGCCAAUGAAAUGGUGGCGCUGUUUACCUUUCUACUGGUAUUUUUAUUAGCAUACUUGGUUGAACCCCAUGGCUGUCAUAAUUCCUGAAGCGACCCGCAUAGAAGAAGAGGGAAUGGAAAAAAAGAGAAUCUGAAAAAUUUGGGUAAUCUGACAACAGUGACAAGUGAGGAAAGCGCAAAAUUGAUAUGGCAAAGCAAUGAAAUGGCUGAAAAUGAUUGUCAACGAAUUGACGCCUU
This 403-nucleotide small RNA is filed under the name Histoplasma ohiense. Its description in RNAcentral is "hypothetical lncRNA". Lineage: Eukaryota; Fungi; Ascomycota; Eurotiomycetes; Onygenales; Ajellomycetaceae. The record is from RNAcentral.